CCUGGGACUUGCGUCCCAGGCUGUCGCAUGGCGUCGCUUCGCGACU
This 46-nucleotide small RNA is filed under the name Rosistilla oblonga. RNAcentral's name for it is "Acido-Lenti-1 RNA". It matches the Rfam family "Acido-Lenti-1 RNA". Lineage: Bacteria; Pseudomonadati; Planctomycetota; Planctomycetia; Pirellulales; Pirellulaceae. The record is from Rfam by way of RNAcentral.